UACGGAGGAUGCGAGCGUUAUCCGGAUUUAUUGGGUUUAAAGGGUGCGUAGGCGGGAUACCAAGUCAGCGGUAAAAAUGCGGUGCUCAACGCCGUCGAGCCGUUGAAACUGGCGUUCUUGAGUGGGCGAGAAGUAUGCGGAAUGCGUGGUGUAGCGGUGAAAUGCAUAGAUAUCACGCAGAACUCCGAUUGCGAAGGCAGCAUACCGGCGCCCAACUGACGCUGAAGCACGAAGGCGUGGGUAUCGAACAGG
RNAcentral lists this ribosomal RNA (252 nucleotides) under uncultured bacterium. Its description in RNAcentral is "partial 16S ribosomal RNA". It matches the Rfam family "Bacterial small subunit ribosomal RNA", at positions 524 to 776 of the family's 1533-position model. The record is from RNAcentral.